Molecule: long non-coding RNA, 519 nt
Organism: Lontra canadensis (Northern American river otter)
Lineage: Eukaryota; Metazoa; Chordata; Mammalia; Carnivora; Mustelidae
Exons: 3
Source: RefSeq, a predicted model, not a curated record
CAACAGCCUGUACCCAUGGAGGCUGGAUGAUCAGGGGAAAUGGGUUGGUUCUCAAUGCUCAAGGGGAUCCUGAUGGUGCCAAGAAUUCGGGUUUUCCUAUACCUGCAACCUUGGCAAACACAACCCCACCAAAGAUGGGAUUAUGGGAUCAAAGUUAACAUCAGAGGUGAUGGGACAGAUCAGCACAGCGAACCAUGGGAUGGAAUGUGAGGGGCGACCUCAUGUACUCUGGAAGGAAAUGCAACGAAGAAAACACCAUAGCUUGUGCAAUAUUCCUGCUCGAGAUGUAUAACCCAAAUCCAACCCGAGGACACUGUGAACCAACUGACUGAGGGGUAUUUUGAAAAGUAAGUGGCCUGUAACCAGUUCAAGGAGGGACUGAGGAAAGACUGCACAGGGCAGAAGGCUGAUGAGACAAUAUUAGGACAGUUGAGUAAAUAGGAAUGAGGUCUCUAGGCAAAGAGGAGUAGGAAUUCUUUGUACCACUCUUGUAACUUUCCUGUCACUUUGAAAUUAGUU